This 734-nucleotide long non-coding RNA is filed under the name Parus major (Great Tit). RNAcentral describes it as "lncRNA (ENSPMJG00000018254.1)". The record is from RNAcentral. Lineage: Eukaryota; Metazoa; Chordata; Aves; Passeriformes; Paridae.
UGUGGUUGUGAAUGCAAGUGCUGAGAUUUCAGAGAGGGAGUUAAAUAAAAACCUGCACAACUCUGCCUACAAGGAACCAUCACAGGAAAUGUAAAGACUUGUCUGAGAAGUGGGGUUCCUUCGAAUGCAGCUCACAUGUACUCAGCAAAUGGGCCAAGUAAAGAGACAGAAUUACCUCCCCCUGCUGUUGCUCAGACUACACCUAUUAACAGGAUCGCCUGGUUCUGCAGAAAAUACACACAGCAACAAGUUUUGUCAUAUUAUCCUGAUAAAUCAGAUAUGAAUUAAGAUUUUAAGAGUUACUUUGCCAAAAUGGAGAAGGAAAUGAAUAUUCCUCAUCACUGCAGCUAAGGAAAUCAUGCACAGAUAUGGAAAAUUACUCUCUACUGGUGUUUUGAGGUCAGUGGCUCCUGUUCCACCCAACAGGAGACUGGCUCUUCCUACAGCUGGGAGCAGGACAGCUGCCCUACAGCUUUCCAAGAAGAAUGCAGAGGCUGCAGAGGGACUUCAGUUGACUGAAGUGGUUCAAGAAGUGCUGAAAGCAAAUCUUCCCCACGGCCCUCGUGUAAUCCACAGCAAGGUCAGAUUCCUCUGGAGUAACAAGGCUUGCAAACUGUCAGUAACAUGUAGACAGACUUAGCUAACACAGUUUAGAGAAAUUGCUGGUAAGUGAAAAGGUAUCAUUCAUCAGUCUGAGGGAAUAAUCCUCAUAUAAGACUAUAAAUCAUUUGGUU